GAUGAAGAACGUAGCGAAAUGCGAUAAGUAAUGUGAAUUGCAGAAUUCAGUGAAUCAUCGAAUCUUUGAACGCACCUUGCGCUCUUUGGUAUUCCGAAGAGCAUGCCUGUUUGAGUGUCAUGAAAAUAUCAACCUUGACUUGGGUUUUGUGCUCUAGUCUCGGCUUGGAAUUGGGUGCUUGCCGCUUUUACGAGCGGCUCACCUUAAAUGUAUUAGCUGGAUCUGUCUUUGAGACUUGGUUUGACUUGGCGUAAUAAGUAAUUCGCUAAGGACAUUCUUCGGAGUGGCCUCGUUUCUAGGACGCUUGUCCGCUUUCCAAUACAAGUUCCACCUCGUGGACAUGACUUUUUAUUAUCUGGCCUCACAUCAGGUAGGACUACCCGCUGAACUUAAGCAUAUCAAUAAGCGGAGGA
This 413-nucleotide unclassified non-coding RNA is filed under the name soil metagenome. Its description in RNAcentral is "partial contains 5.8S ribosomal RNA, internal transcribed spacer 2, and large subunit ribosomal RNA". The stretch from base 1 to 120 matches the Rfam family "5.8S ribosomal RNA", at positions 35 to 154 of the family's 154-position model. The record is from RNAcentral.